GACGAACGCUGGCGGCGUGCCUAAUACAUGCAAGUUGAGCGCUGAAGGUUGGUACUUGUACCAACUGGAUGAGCAGCGAACGGGUGAGUAACGCGUGGGGAAUCUGCCUUUGAGCGGGGGACAACAUUUGGAAACGAAUGCUAAUACCGCAUAAAAACUUUAAACACAAGUUUUAAGUUUGAAAGAUGCAAUUGCAUCACUCAAAGAUGAUCCCGCGUUGUAUUAGCUAGUUGGUGAGGUAAAGGCUCACCAAGGCGAUGAUACAUAGCCGACCUGAGAGGGUGAUCGGCCACAUUGGGACUGAGACACGGCCCAAACUCCUACGGGAGGCAGCAGUAGGGAAUCUUCGGCAAUGGAUGAAAGUCUGACCGAGCAACGCCGCGUGAGUGAAGAAGGUUUUCGGAUCGUAAAACUCUGUUGGUAGAGAAGAACGUUGGUGAGAGUGGAAAGCUCAUCAAGUGACGGUAACUACCCAGAAAGGGACGGCUAACUACGUG
RNAcentral lists this ribosomal RNA (497 nucleotides) under uncultured bacterium. RNAcentral describes it as "partial 16S ribosomal RNA". It matches the Rfam family "Bacterial small subunit ribosomal RNA", at positions 28 to 507 of the family's 1533-position model. The record is from RNAcentral.